RNAcentral lists this ribosomal RNA (483 nucleotides) under uncultured bacterium. RNAcentral's name for it is "bacterial SSU rRNA". It matches the Rfam family "Bacterial small subunit ribosomal RNA", at positions 501 to 985 of the family's 1533-position model. The record is from RNAcentral.
CUACGUGCCAGCAGCCGCGGUAAUACGGAAGGUCCGGGCGUUAUCCGGAUUUAUUGGGUUUAAAGGGAGCGUAGGCCGUGGAUUAAGCGUGUUGUGAAAUGCAGGUGCUCAACGUCUGCACUGCAGCGCGAACUGGUCCACUUGAGUGUGCACAACGCAGGCGGAAUUCGUCGUGUAGCGGUGAAAUGCUUAGAUAUGACGAGGAACUCCGAUUGCGAAGGCAGCUUGCGGGAGCACAACUGACGCUGAAGCUCGAAAGUGCGGGUAUCGAACAGGAUUAGAUACCCUGGUAGUCCGCACGGUAAACGAUGGAUGCCCGUUGUCAGGCUGUUUCAGUCUGGUGACCAAGCGAAAGCAUUAAGCAUCCCACCUGGGGAGUACGCCGGCAACGGUGAAACUCAAAGGAAUUGACGGGGGCCCGCACAAGCGGAGGAACAUGUGGUUUAAUUCGAUGAUACGCGAGGAACCUUACCCGGGCUUGAA